Mycena galopus ATCC 62051 is the source of this 101-nucleotide non-coding RNA. The record is from the annotation of a GenBank genome assembly. Lineage: Eukaryota; Fungi; Basidiomycota; Agaricomycetes; Agaricales; Mycenaceae.
GUCACUAUAGCUUAGUGGUUGAGCAUACGAUUGCAAUUGAUUGGGUUUCAUACCAUCAGUGUUAUAUCGUGAGGUCCCGCGUUCGAACCGCGGUAGUGACU